RNAcentral lists this non-coding RNA (345 nucleotides) under Taeniopygia guttata (zebra finch). RNAcentral describes it as "Eukaryotic small subunit ribosomal RNA". It matches the Rfam family "Eukaryotic small subunit ribosomal RNA", at positions 631 to 976 of the family's 1831-position model. The record is from Rfam by way of RNAcentral. Lineage: Eukaryota; Metazoa; Chordata; Aves; Passeriformes; Estrildidae.
CUGGAAUACCUUCCACUAGAAGCUCUACUACUACUACUACUACUACUACUACUACUACUAUUAAUACUGCUACUACUACAAAGAAAACUAACAAUGCUGUAAAAUGCACUCAUUGAGAAGUUUGAUACUGAAGAAACUGAAGCAUUCAAAGCUGGCUGGCCAACAGGACACUCCAGCCAAAAUAAAAGAAUAGGACCCUCGGCCUUUUAUGAUUAUUUUUUGGAAGCAGGGCCAUAAUUAAGAGCAAUGGCUGGGGACAUUCAUAUUGUGCCACUUGAGUUUGAAUUCUUGGACGAGUGCAAGGUGACCUAAAGCAAAACCGUUUGCCAAGAAUGCUUUCAUUAG